GAAGCAGCAGGCACGCAAAUUACCCACUCCCGGCACGGGGAGGUAGUGACGAAAAAUAACGAUACGGGACUCAUCCGAGGCCCCGUAAUCGGAAUGAGAACACUUUAAACCCUUUAACGAGUAUCCAUUGGAGGGCAAGUCUGGUGCCAGCAGCCGCGGUAAUUCCAGCUCCAAUAGCGUAUAUUAAAGUUGUUGCGGUUAAAAAGCUCGUAGUUGGAUGUGUGUCCCACGCUGUCGGUUCACCGCUCGUCGGUGUUUAACUGGCAUGGCAGUGCGGACGUCCUGCCGGUGGAUGCGGUCGGCCGCGGGCCUCUGGUCUGCGUGUCGGCGGUCCUAUCAAAUCCUACCGCGGUGCUCUUCACCGAGUGUCGAGGUGGGCCGGCACGUUUACUUUGAACAAAUUAGAGUGCUCAAAGCAGGCAGUGGCUCGCCUGAAUAUUGUGUGCAUGGAAUAAUGGAAUAGGACCUCGGUUCUAUUUUGUUGGUUUUCGGAACCCCGAGGUAAUGAUUAACAGGAACAGACGGGGGCAUUCGUAUUGCGACGUUAGAGGUGAAAUUCUUGGAUCGUCGCAAGACGAACCUAAGCGAAAGCAUUUGCCAUGAAUGUUUUCAUUAAUCAAGAACGAAAGUUAGAGGUUCGAAGGCGAUCAGAUACCGCCCUAGUUCUAACCAUAAACGAUGCCAGCCAGCGAUCCGCCGAAGUUCCUCCGAUGACUCGGCGGGCAGCUUCCGGGAAACCAAAGCUUUUGGGUUCCGGGGGAAGUAUGGUUGCAAAGCUGAAACUUAAAGGAAUUGACGGAAGGGCACCACCAGGAGUGGAGCCUGCGGCUUAAUUUGACUCAACACGGGAAACCUCACCAGGCCCGGACACCGGAAGGAUUGACAGAUUGAGAGCUCUUUCUUGAUUCGGUGGGUGGUGGUGCAUGGCCGUUCUUAGU
RNAcentral lists this ribosomal RNA (938 nucleotides) under Lobofemora bidoupensis. Its description in RNAcentral is "SSU rRNA". It matches the Rfam family "Eukaryotic small subunit ribosomal RNA", at positions 422 to 1298 of the family's 1831-position model. Lineage: Eukaryota; Metazoa; Arthropoda; Insecta; Phasmatodea; Phasmatidae. The record is from RNAcentral.